Molecule: ribosomal RNA, 274 nt
Filed under: uncultured bacterium
Lineage: Bacteria
Description: partial 16S ribosomal RNA
Rfam family: Bacterial small subunit ribosomal RNA
Source: RNAcentral
AUACGGAGGGUGCAAGCGUUGUUCGGAAUUAUUGGGCGUAAAGAGCAUGUAGGCGGACUAUUAAGUCUGGUGUGAAAGCCCGGGGCUCAACCCCGGAAGUGCAUUGGAUACUGGUAGUCUUGAGUAUGAGAGAGGAAAGUGGAAUUCCGAGUGUAGGAGUGAAAUCCGUAGAUAUUCGGAGGAACACCAGUGGCGAAGGCGGCUUUCUGGACCAAUACUGACGCUGAGAUGCGAAAGCGUGGGGAGCGAACAGUAUUAGAUACCCCAGUAGUCC